GGCCUGUUUGCUCAGUUGGUUAGAGCAUGGUUCUAUAAUAACGCCAAGGUCACGGGUUCGAUCCCCGUAUGGGCCA
Non-coding RNA from Pseudophryne corroboree (corroboree frog), 76 nucleotides. Lineage: Eukaryota; Metazoa; Chordata; Amphibia; Anura; Myobatrachidae. The record is from the annotation of a RefSeq genome assembly.